Molecule: long non-coding RNA, 261 nt
Filed under: Lathyrus oleraceus (garden pea)
Lineage: Eukaryota; Viridiplantae; Streptophyta; Magnoliopsida; Fabales; Fabaceae
Description: Pisum sativum (pea) long non-coding RNA (PSAT_LNC027905)
Source: RNAcentral
AAUAAGGUAAAAAAGAAUGAGUUCUUUUUUUAUUUUGAUUGAUUUGUUACAUACAUCACAUAAUACAAAUUCAUUUACAUUGUAAAUAUAUUAAUAUUACAUUACAUUGCCUUAAUUAAAAAUACAAAAAAAAGGGAAAUUAAAAAUAAAAUAAAAGAAUGUCAAGUUUGCUUCACACGAGUUCCAUGCCAAACUUCAUUGCCCAUGAAUUCCAACCUUGCCAUAUUCUCAUCAUCAUCUCCAUGCAACGUCUUAUCAUCU